RNAcentral lists this ribosomal RNA (258 nucleotides) under uncultured Leptotrichia sp. Its description in RNAcentral is "partial 16S ribosomal RNA". It matches the Rfam family "Bacterial small subunit ribosomal RNA", at positions 97 to 355 of the family's 1533-position model. The record is from RNAcentral. Lineage: Bacteria; Fusobacteriati; Fusobacteriota; Fusobacteriia; Fusobacteriales; Leptotrichiaceae.
GGCGGACGGGUGAGUAACGCGUAAAGAACUUGCCCUUUAGACUGGGAUAACAGAGGGAAACUUCUGAUAAUACUGGAUAAGUUAGUAUAUCGCAUGAUAUGCAAAUGAAAGCUACGGCACUAAAGGAGAGCUUUGCGUCCUAUUAGCUAGUUGGUAAGGUAAGAGCUUACCAAGGCGAUGAUAGGUAGCCGGCCUGAGAGGGUGGACGGCCACAAGGGGACUGAGGUACGGCCCUUACUCCUACGGGAGGCAGCAGCC